Styela clava is the source of this 1050-nucleotide non-coding RNA. The record is from RefSeq and is a predicted model, not a curated record. Lineage: Eukaryota; Metazoa; Chordata; Ascidiacea; Stolidobranchia; Styelidae.
CGAAAGUCUUAGUUACAAUCUAUUUCUAAUUUGUAUUUCACACAGAAUGUAAAAAAGACGAUGAAUGCUAUUCCUUUGAAAGAUGCACGAGUUCAGGGGUGUGUGAGCAAAAAGAAUGCGAAAGAGACUAUGAUUGUGACUCUGGGAAAUUUUGCGAUACGAAAUUCUGGACGUGUCAGGAUACAGAAUACUACUACUACUCGUAUUGAAUUUUGCUAAGAAGAGAAAAGCACCAUAAAACGAGACCUGUUGUAAAAGUAAGCAAUAGAAGAUAAAAACAAAUACGAUACAGAGGAAGUAUUGAUGCAAUCAGAGAUAAUGAAUUUGCUUGCUCUGAAUAUUUGUGAUUUUCGAAUCUGUUUGAUGACACUGCUGGAACAAACCGCCACUGAGAUCGAUUGAUCCUGUUUAUUUUAGAUGCAUGAAUAGGUUGAGUCAGGGUGGUCCAACGUUACGAGGUUGGCGAGCAGCAAAAACUUUUGAGGAUGUCUCGCGGGCGCAGUCGGAGAAAACCCAAAAGUGAUCAAAACAGUGCGAGUUGACUCACUUUGAAUAUAUUUGAUAAUUAGCGUUUACGGUUCUGAUCAUUUUUUAGCGGAAAAUAUAUAAAGCUUUUAGGUAUUUUGAAAUUGUUUUCCGUCAAAUAUCGUGUAUUUUGGUAUCUUUUCUCGUGUUUGGUUUUGUAAUGUCGCUUACAAUUACAUUCUUUCGUAACAGAUAUUAAUUGAAAUCAUACCAGACACUGUGGUUCAACGUUGUUGUGGGUAAAGGAAUACGAUUCUUCCUGGUAGCGUGAGCAAGCCUGGGGCUAUCGUCAAAGAACAAUCAAGACCGUCUAAGUUAGGACUCAAGACCCAGCUAAAAAAAAUGGAUCGCGGGGCGCUAAGUCAGCUCUGUUCGUCACUGCUGUCACAUGGUCAACGCUUGAAAAUAGAUUAGUGUUUUCACUAAUAUAAAGCACAAAAUGUCUCUCAAAAUGAGGAGUUACUUGACGGGAGCAGGCACAAAGUUUAGAUGAAAAGCGCGACUAAUCUCAUCGACCUGUCUGCA